CGCUCGCGGCGGGGCCGCCUUAAGUGUCCGCCGCUCAUUUGCCCCCAAUUCGGGGGU
This 57-nucleotide antisense RNA is filed under the name Pyrobaculum aerophilum str. IM2. Its description in RNAcentral is "Pyrobaculum asRNA3". It matches the Rfam family "Pyrobaculum asRNA3". From Rfam's summary of the family: Binds to the 3'-end of the tpi gene (triose-phosphate-isomerse). The tpi mRNA has a conserved structural element located close to the stop codon. The record is from Rfam by way of RNAcentral. Lineage: Archaea; Thermoproteati; Thermoproteota; Thermoprotei; Thermoproteales; Thermoproteaceae.